GGAGGGCAAGUCUGGUGCCAGCAGCCGCGGUAAUUCCAGCUCCACUAGCGUAAAAUAUUACUGCUGCGGUUAAAAAGCUCGUAGUUGAAUCUAGUCGUGUCCGUUGGGUUUGUCGUUGGCGUUUAUUCGUCUCUGGCGUUAAUUCACGGCCGAUUUUUGCUGGUUUGCUGUUGGUCUUCGGAUCUUCGGUGGCUAGCGAGUUACUUUGAUCAAAUCAGAGUGCUCAAAACAGGCGAAAGCUUGUAUGAUUUCUCGAGGAAUAACAGAAGAGGACUUCGGUUCUAUUUGUUGGUUCCAGAAUCGUUUAAUGGUUAAGAGGGACAAUUCGGGGGCAAACGUAUCCUCGCGCGAGGGGUGAAAUCCGUAGACCGUGAGGAGACGACCAAUAGCGAAAGCAUUUGCCAAGAAUGUCUCCAUUAAUCAAGAACGAAAGUCAGAGGUUCGAAGGCGAUUAGAUACCGCCCUAGUUCUGACCGUAA
Molecule: ribosomal RNA, 479 nt
Filed under: Rhabditis sp. 4 MK-2017
Lineage: Eukaryota; Metazoa; Nematoda; Chromadorea; Rhabditida; Rhabditidae
Description: SSU rRNA
Rfam family: Eukaryotic small subunit ribosomal RNA
Source: RNAcentral